AACGAACGCUGGCGGCAUGCCUAACACAUGCAAGUCGAACGAGAUCUUCAGGUCCAGUGGCGCGAGGGUGCGUAACGCGUGGGAAUCUGCACUUUGGUUCGGACUCACAGUUGGGAACGACUGCUAAAACAUGAUGAUGACGCAAGUCCAAAGCUCUAGCGCCAGGGGAUGAGCCCGGGUCGGAUGAGCUAGUUGGGGUGGUAAAGGCACACCAAGGCGACGAUCCUUAGCUGGUCUGAGAGGCUGAUACGCCACACUGGAACUGAGACACGGCCCCGACUCCUACGGGACGCAGCAGUGGGGAAUAUUGUACAAUGGGCGAAGGCCUGAUCAAGCAACGCGGGGUGAGUGAUGAAGGCCUUAGGGUUGUAAAGCUCUUUGACCCGGGAUGAUAAUGACAGUACCGGGAGAAUAAGCUCCGGCUAACUCCGUGCCAGCCGCCGCCGUAA
Molecule: ribosomal RNA, 449 nt
Filed under: uncultured bacterium
Lineage: Bacteria
Description: partial 16S ribosomal RNA
Rfam family: Bacterial small subunit ribosomal RNA
Source: RNAcentral